GACGAACGCUGGCGGCGUGCUUAACACAUGCAAGUCGAACGGAAAGGCCUUUUCGGAGGUACUCGAGUGGCGAACGGGUGAGUAACACGUGGGUGAUCUGCCCUGCACUCUGGGAUAAGCCUGGGAAACUGGGUCUAAUACCGGAUAGGACCGCACUUUAGUGUGUGUGGUGGAAAGUUUUUUCGGUGUAGGAUGAGCCCGCGGCCUAUCAGCUUGUUGGUGGGGUAAUGGCCUACCAAGGCGGCGACGGGUAGCCGGACUGAGAGGUUGGUCGGCCACAUGGGGACUGAGAUACGGCCCAGACUCCUACGGGAGGCAGCAGUGGGGAAUAUUGCACAAUGGGCGCAAGCCUGAUGCAGCGACGCCGCGUGGGGGAUGACGGCCUUCGGGUUGUAAACUCCUUUCGCCAGGGACGAAGCGUUUUGUGACGGUACCUGGAGAAGAAGCACCGGCUAACUACG
RNAcentral lists this ribosomal RNA (461 nucleotides) under uncultured bacterium. RNAcentral describes it as "partial 16S ribosomal RNA". It matches the Rfam family "Bacterial small subunit ribosomal RNA", at positions 28 to 505 of the family's 1533-position model. The record is from RNAcentral.